CUUUGGGCAGGCUAAAUCCCAGCCUUCAAGUAACCCCUCAAUGUCCUAUGUCUGAAGGAAAGAAUACUUCUGUCCUAUGGAUACUGGCUGAGACGUCUUUCUUUCCCUCUCUUCACUAAAACUAAGAAAAAUAAGGAGUGGUUAGUGAGAGGUUGCUGAACGGCUGAUGACCAUCGCCUAUGAAAGUGGUGUUAACCUCUUUGAUACUGCCGAAGUCUAUGCUGCUGGAAAGGCUGAAGUGAUUCUGGGGAGCAUCAUCAAGAAGAAAGGCUGGAGGAGGUCCAGUCUGGUCAUAACAACCAAACUCUACUGGGGUGGAAAAGCUGAAACAGAAAGAGGGCUGUCAAGAAAGCAUAUUAUUGAAGGAUUGAAGGGUUCCCUCCAGAGGCUGCAGCUCGAGUAUGUGGAUGUGGUCUUUGCAAAUCGACCAGACAGUAACACUCCCAUGGAAGAAAUUGUCCGAGCCAUGACACAUGUGAUAAACCAAGGCAUGGCGAUGUACUGGGGCACCUCGAGGUGGAGUGCUAUGGAGAUCAUGGAAGCCUAUUCUGUAGCAAGACAGUUCAAUAUGAUCCCACCCGUCUGUGAACAAGCUGAGUACCAUCUUUUCCAGAGAGAGAAAGUGGAGGUCCAGCUGCCAGAGCUCUACCACAAAAUAGGGGUUGGCGCAAUGACAUGGUCUCCACUUGCCUGUGGAAUCAUCUCAGGAAAAUACGGAAACGGGGUGCCUGAAAGUUCCAGGGCUUCACUGAAGUGCUACCAGUGGUUGAAAGAGAGAAUUGUAAGUGAAGAAGGGAGAAAACAACAAAACAAGCUAAAAGACCUUUCCCCAAUUGCUGAGCGUCUGGGAUGCACACUACCUCAGCUAGCUGUUGCGUGGUGCCUGAGAAAUGAAGGUGUGAGUUCUGUGCUCCUGGGAUCAUCCACUCCUGAACAACUCAUUGAAAACCUUGGUGCCAUUCAGGUUCUCCCAAAGAUGACAUCACAUGUGGUAAAUGAGAUUGAUAACAUAUUGCGCAACAAGCCCUACAGCAAGAAGGACUAUAGAUCAUAAAGCAAUGCAUGAACCACAGAAGCUGCAUGGUUACAAUAGCGGCCUGUGCCCAGUACAGAAAGGUGUUACUAACCAGUCUUUUGAAUCACUUAGCAGCUUGCUGCUCAACCUCUAGUGUCCCUCCCUGGAUUCUUUGAGGUGUCUGCUGUCGCUACCACUGUGCACAUCUGAAAACUCACAACCAAGAAAAUCCAUUCUAUUUUCUUAUCUUGGACUGGAGUCACCUAUUCUUGCAUUGCUGUAUACACCUCAUGCUUAUGCAAUGGGAAGAAUAUGGGGGCCGGGGGUGAUGUACUACCUUCAGGCAUUUGGUAACUCAAAGAAGGCUGUACAGAUAUAUUUUUUCAAAAGAACAAAAUCCACAGAUGCAAUGUGAGUUGCAUAAGAAACAGACUAGAUAGACUAAAUUCAGUGAAGGAAAGGAAUUGAGAGAUUUUUCUUAGGAAAUAGAUUACUGUUAAGUAAAUAGUUAUUAAAAAUAUAUCUCACU
Molecule: small RNA, 1544 nt
Filed under: Pongo abelii (Sumatran orangutan)
Lineage: Eukaryota; Metazoa; Chordata; Mammalia; Primates; Hominidae
Description: processed transcript
Source: RNAcentral